RNAcentral lists this ribosomal RNA (253 nucleotides) under uncultured bacterium. RNAcentral's name for it is "partial 16S ribosomal RNA". It matches the Rfam family "Bacterial small subunit ribosomal RNA", at positions 524 to 776 of the family's 1533-position model. The record is from RNAcentral.
GACGUAGGGCGCGAGCGUUGUCCGGAUUUAUUGGGCGUAAAGAGCUCGUAGGCGGCUCGUUGCGUCGACCGUGAAAACCCGCGGCUUAACUGCGGGCUUGCGGUUGAUACGGGCGGGCUAGAGUUCGGUAGGGGAGACUGGAAUUCCUGGUGUAGCGGUGAAAUGCGCAGAUAUCAGGAGGAACACCGGUGGCGAAGGCGGGUCUCUGGGCCGAUACUGACGCUGAGGAGCGAAAGCGUGGGGAGCGAACAGG